RNAcentral lists this long non-coding RNA (726 nucleotides) under Ananas comosus (pineapple). Its description in RNAcentral is "long non-coding RNA (ACOM_LNC025774)". The record is from RNAcentral. Lineage: Eukaryota; Viridiplantae; Streptophyta; Magnoliopsida; Poales; Bromeliaceae.
AGUCUACAGUCGCAUUUGAAGAUGUCAAUAAAUGAGAGUCGUUAAGUGUAUACGGCUGCUUAUGCUAAAGCGUCGGUAAAUUAUAUUUCGAUGUUUUAAAGUGUCAGAAUUUUUUAAAAUCUUGACGAUUUAAAAUAUUAAAAAAUUAAAAAUAAUAGUGAACUUUAUCAUUCAAAUAAAUUGAUUUGAUAUAAUAGAAGGUUUAUAUGACAACACAUUUUGAAUGUUUGGUAUUUACUAUAUUGUAGGGAUGCUUGGGAAUGCUUCCUCCAAGUGUCAUUUGAAAAGUGUCCUUGUAAUAAGAUUUUAUUCUAAUGAGUGUAGUUAAAGAUGCAUACAGUUCGAAUUAUAACAGUUAUAAUUACAUGCAUUUUAUGUAGUUAGUUGUACAUUGUUGUAAGCGUUGUAGCAUAAUUAAUUUACUUGAUUGCAUACGGUUGAGAAGAAUAUUAUAAAAUUUGUUAUUUUAUAUAUUAGGUGGUGAGAUUACCUCUAUGUGAAGAAUAUAUAUAUAGAGUUGAGCUAGAAUACUCUCAAAAGCACCAAGGGGUGGUGUUUAACCAUUGGAUGGAGAGAUGUAAGGUUGAGGUGAUGGUGGUAGGUGAUGGUAGGUGGAAUAGUCUUUGAUCCAAGAGGUAUUAGAAUUAAGGAGUAGAUCCAAGGGCUAGAAACCUAGAAGCACCAUGGGCUUGGUGCUUUUAAAAGUAUUCUAGCUCAAUUUUAUAU